UACAGAGGGUGCAAGCGUUGUUCGGAAUUAUUGGGCGUAAAGCGCGUGUAGGCGGCUCUGCAAGUCGGGUGUGAAAGCCCUCAGCUCAACUGAGGAAGUGCGCCCGAAACUGCAGAGCUUGAGUACCGGAGAGGAUGGCGGAAUUCCCCAAGUAGAGGUGAAAUUCGUAGAUAUGGGGAGGAACACCGGUGGCGAAGGCGGCCAUCUGGACGGAUACUGACGCUGAGACGCGAAAGCGUGGGUAGCGAACAGG
RNAcentral lists this ribosomal RNA (253 nucleotides) under uncultured bacterium. RNAcentral describes it as "partial 16S ribosomal RNA". It matches the Rfam family "Bacterial small subunit ribosomal RNA", at positions 524 to 776 of the family's 1533-position model. The record is from RNAcentral.